Molecule: ribosomal RNA, 242 nt
Filed under: uncultured bacterium
Lineage: Bacteria
Description: partial 16S ribosomal RNA
Rfam family: Bacterial small subunit ribosomal RNA
Source: RNAcentral
GUGGCGAGUGGCGGACGGGUGAGGAAUGCAUCGGAAUCUACUCUUUCGUGGGGGAUAACGUAGGGAAACUUACGCUAAUACCGCAUACGACCUACGGGUGAAGCCGGGGACCUUCGGGCCUGGCGCGAAUGAAUGAGCCGAUGCCCGAUUAGCUAGUUGGCGGGGUAAGAGCCCACCAAGGCGACGAUCGGUAGCUGGUCUGAGAGGAUGAUCAGCCACACUGGAACUGAGACACGGUCCAG